Molecule: ribosomal RNA, 497 nt
Filed under: uncultured bacterium
Lineage: Bacteria
Description: partial 16S ribosomal RNA
Rfam family: Bacterial small subunit ribosomal RNA
Source: RNAcentral
GAUGAACGCUGGCGGCGUGCCUAAUACAUGCAAGUCGAGCGAACGGACGAGAAGCUUGCUUCUCUGAUGUUAGCGGCGGACGGGUGAGUAACACGUGGAUAACCUACCUAUAAGACUGGGAUAACUUCGGGAAACCGUAGCUAAUACCGGAUAAUAUUUUGAACCGCAUGGUCCAAAAGUGAAAGACGGUCUUGCUGUCACUUAUAGAUGGAUCCGCGCUGCAUUAGCUAGUUGGUAAGGUAACGGCUUACCAAGGCAACGAUGCAUAGCCGACCUGAGAGAGUGAUCGGCCACACUGGAACUGAGACACGGUCCAGACUCCUACGGGAGGCAGCAGUAGGGAAUCUUCCGCAAUGGGCGAAAGCCUGACGGAGCAACGCCGCGUGAGUGAUGAAGGUCUUCGGAUCGUAAAACUCUGUUAUUAGGGAAGAACAUAUGUGUAAGUAACUGUGCACAUCUUGACGGUACCUAAUCAGAAAGCCACGGCUAACUACGUG